This is a non-coding RNA of Ciona savignyi (Pacific transparent sea squirt), 413 nucleotides long. The record is from Rfam. Lineage: Eukaryota; Metazoa; Chordata; Ascidiacea; Phlebobranchia; Cionidae.
UACCUGGUUGAUCCUGCCAGUAGUCAUAUGCUUGUCUCAAAGAUUAAGCCAUGCAAGUCUAAGUACGAGCUCUCGUACAGUGAAACUGCGAAUGGCUCAUUAAAUCAGUUAUGGUUCAUUUGAUCGUACAGUUUACUUGGAUAACUGUGGUAAUUCUAGAGCUAAUACAUGCGAGAAGCGCCGACCUCGCGGGAGGCGUGCAUUUAUCAGACCAAAAACCGGCCGCGUCUUCGGGCGCGUUCGCCUUGGUGACUCUGGAUAACUUUGCGGAUCGCACGGUCUAGCACCGGCGACGGAUCAUUCAAGUGUCUGCCCUAUCAACUUUCGUCGGUACGGUAUUUGCCUACCGAGGUUCUUACGGGUGACGGGGAAUCAGGGUUCGAUUCCGGAGAGGGAGCCUGAGAAACGGCUAC